This 253-nucleotide ribosomal RNA is filed under the name uncultured bacterium. RNAcentral describes it as "partial 16S ribosomal RNA". It matches the Rfam family "Bacterial small subunit ribosomal RNA", at positions 524 to 776 of the family's 1533-position model. The record is from RNAcentral.
UACGGAGGGUGCAAGCAUUAAUCGGAUUUAUUGGGCGUAAAGGGCGCGUAGGCGGUUUUGUAAGUCAGAUGUGAAAUACCAAAGCUCAACUUUGGUGCUGCAUUUGAAACUGCAAGACUAGAGGGAUGGCGGAGAAAACGGAAUUCCACGUGUAGCGGUGAAAUGCGUAGAUAUGUGGAAGAACACCUGUGGCGAAAGCGGUUUUCUAGCUAUUACCUGACGCUGAGGCGCGAGAGCAAGGGGAGCAAACAGG